AUUGAACGCCGGCGGCAGGCUUAACACAUGCAAGUCGAGCGUGAAAGGGCUUCGGCCUGAGUAAAGCGGCGGACGGGUGAGUAACGCGUAGGAAUCUACCUGGUAGUGGGGGAUAACGUUCCGAAAGGAACGCUAAUACCGCAUACGUUCUGAGGAAGAAAGCAGGGGACCGCAAGGCCUUGUGCUAUCAGAUGAGCCUGCGUCCGAUUAGCUAGUUGGUGGGGUAAAGGCCUACCAAGGCGACGAUCGGUAACUGGUCUGAGAGGAUGAUCAGUCACACUGGAACUGAGACACGGUCCAGACUCCUACGGGAGGCAGCAGUGGGGAAUAUUGGACAAUGGGGGCAACCCUGAUCCAGCCAUGCCGCGUGUGUGAAGAAGGCC
Molecule: ribosomal RNA, 383 nt
Filed under: uncultured bacterium
Lineage: Bacteria
Description: bacterial SSU rRNA
Rfam family: Bacterial small subunit ribosomal RNA
Source: RNAcentral